CCUUAAGUAGAUCUUUUUCAGGAAAGCAGAUUCCAUCUAACAUUAUAAAGAAAGCUUAAAUAAAUGGGCAUAUGUACUGAUGCUCGUGUUAUCUGUUGUUUUAAAAGCCUUUGGAAGACUUUAUGGGUAAAUAUUAUCACAUAGAAUGAGAUAUUUUUAUUUCUCUACAGAAACAAAAAAGGAACUGGUCCUAGAAAGCAACCCAAAGUGGGAGGCACUGACUGAAGUAUUAAAAGAAAUUGAGGCAGAAAAUAAGGAGAGUGAAGCUCUUGGUGGUCCAGGUCAAGUACUGAUUUGUGCAAGUGAUGACCGAACAUGUUCCCAGCUGAGAGACUAUAUCACUCUUGGAGCGGAGGCCUUCUUAUUGAGGCUCUACAGGAAAACCUUUGAGAAGGAUAGCAAAGCUGAAGAAGUCUGGAUGAAAUUUAGGAAGGAAGACAGUUCAAAGAGAAUUAGGAAACCUCACAAAAGACCUAAAGACCCCCAAAACAAAGAACGGGCUUCUACCAAAGAAAGAACCCUC
Molecule: small RNA, 523 nt
Filed under: Pan troglodytes (chimpanzee)
Lineage: Eukaryota; Metazoa; Chordata; Mammalia; Primates; Hominidae
Description: retained intron
Source: RNAcentral